Molecule: unclassified non-coding RNA, 234 nt
Filed under: Naganishia randhawae
Lineage: Eukaryota; Fungi; Basidiomycota; Tremellomycetes; Filobasidiales; Filobasidiaceae
Description: partial internal transcribed spacer region
Rfam family: Eukaryotic small subunit ribosomal RNA (bases 1-46)
Source: RNAcentral
AAGUCGUAACAAGGUUUCCGUAGGUGAACCUGCGGAAGGAUCAUUAAUGAAUGCAAAUUCCCGUCGAGCUUGCUCACGGGGGUUCAUCAUAUCCAUAACACCUGUGCACUUGUUGGAUGGUUUAACCAAAGCGUAAGCUGAAGUUAUCCAUCUAAUUUACACUAAACAAUUCUGUAACAAAUGUAGUCUUAUUAUAACAUAAUAAAACUUUCAACAACGGAUCUCUUGGCUCUC